CUUUUCACAUGCAAGUUCGAACGGCAGCACGGACUUCGGUCUGGUGGCGAGUGGCGAACGGGUGAGUAAUACAUCGGAACGUGCCCAGUUGUGGGGGAUAACGUAGCGAAAGUUACGCUAAUACCGCAUACGAACUAAGGUUGAAAGUGGGGGAUCGCAAGACCUCAUGCUCAUGGAGUGGCCGAUAUCUGAUUAGCUAGUUGGUGAGGUAAAGGCUCACCAAGGCGACGAUCUGUAGCGGGUCUGAGAGGAUGAUCCGCCACACUGGGACUGAGACACGGCCCAGACUCCUACGGGAGGCAGCAGUGGGGAAUAUUGGACAAUGGGCGAAAGCCUGAUCCAGCCAUGCCGCGUGUGUGAAGAAGGCCUUUUGGUUGUAAAGCACUUUAAGCGAGGAGGAGGCUACUUGGAUUAAUACUCUAGGAUAGUGGACGUUACUCGCAGAAUAAGCACCGGCUAACUCUGUGCCAGCAGCCGCGGUAAUACAGAGGGUGCGAGCGUUAAUCGGAUUUACUGGGCGUAAAGCGUGCGUAGGCGGCUUUUUAAGUCGGAUGUGAAAUCCCUGAGCUUAACUUAGGAAUUGCAUUCGAUACUGGGAAGCUAGAGUAUGGGAGAGGAUGGUAGAAUUCCAGGUGUAGCGGUGAAAUGCGUAGAGAUCUGGAGGAAUACCGAUGGCGAAGGCAGCCAUCUGGCCUAAUACUGACGCUGAGGUACGAAAGCAUGGGGAGCAAACAGGAUUAGAUACCCUGGUAGUCCAUGCCGUAAACGAUGUCUACUAGCCGUUGGGGCCUUUGAGGCUUUAGUGGCGCAGCUAACGCGAUAAGUAGACCGCCUGGGGAGUACGGUCGCAAGACUAAAACUCAAAUGAAUUGACGGGGGCCCGCACAAGCGGUGGAGCAUGUGGUUUAAUUCGAUGCAACGCGAAGAACCUUACCUGGUCUUGACAUAGUAAGAACUUUCCAGAGAUGGAUUGGUGCCUUCGGGAACUUACAUACAGGUGCUGCAUGGCUGUCGUCAGCUCGUGUCGUGAGAUGUUGGGUUAAGUCCCGCAACGAGCGCAACCCUUUUCCUUAUUUGCCAGCGGGUUAAGCCGGGAACUUUAAGGAUACUGCCAGUGACAAACUGGAGGAAGGCGGGGACGACGUCAAGUCAUCAUGGCCCUUACGACCAGGGCUACACACGUGCUACAAUGGUCGGUACAAAGGGUUGCUACCUAGCGAUAGGAUGCUAAUCUCAAAAAGCCGAUCGUAGUCCGGAUUGGAGUCUGCAACUCGACUCCAUGAAGUCGGAAUCGCUAGUAAUCGCGGAUCAGAAUGCCGCGGUGAAUACGUUCCCGGGCCUUGUACACACCGCCCGUCACACCAUGGGAAUUUGUUGCACCAGAAGUAGGUAGUCUAACCGCAAGGAGGACGCUUACCAC
This 1420-nucleotide ribosomal RNA is filed under the name uncultured Pseudomonadales bacterium. RNAcentral's name for it is "SSU rRNA". It matches the Rfam family "Bacterial small subunit ribosomal RNA". Lineage: Bacteria; Pseudomonadati; Pseudomonadota; Gammaproteobacteria; Pseudomonadales. The record is from RNAcentral.